RNAcentral lists this ribosomal RNA (253 nucleotides) under Escherichia coli. RNAcentral describes it as "partial 16S ribosomal RNA". It matches the Rfam family "Bacterial small subunit ribosomal RNA", at positions 1 to 250 of the family's 1533-position model. RNAcentral also lists the same sequence under 1 other name. The record is from RNAcentral. Lineage: Bacteria; Pseudomonadati; Pseudomonadota; Gammaproteobacteria; Enterobacterales; Enterobacteriaceae.
AAAUUGAAGAGUUUGAUCAUGGCUCAGAUUGAACGCUGGCGGCAGGCCUAACACAUGCAAGUCGAACGGUAACAGGAAGCAGCUUGCUGCUUUGCUGACGAGUGGCGGACGGGUGAGUAAUGUCUGGGAAACUGCCCGAUGGAGGGGGAUAACUACUGGAAACGGUAGCUAAUACCGCAUAACGUCGCAAGACCAAAGAGGGGGACCUUAGGGCCUCUUGCCAUCGGAUGUGCCCAGAUGGGAUUAGCUAGUA